Molecule: long non-coding RNA, 6686 nt
Filed under: Malus domestica (apple)
Lineage: Eukaryota; Viridiplantae; Streptophyta; Magnoliopsida; Rosales; Rosaceae
Description: long non-coding RNA (MDOM_LNC014013)
Source: RNAcentral
UGAUCGGAUCAUAUUUAUAUAUAUUUUUACUUCGAAUUCACUCGUCUUUUCUUGGUUAGUUCCUUAUAUUUUUGAGCUAUUUACGUUAUUUUUGUGUUUAUAGGAUCUGUUAUGCAAAUUUACCCUUUAUUGUCACAUGAUAAUACUAAUUUACAUUUUAUAAACAAGGUUUGUCCCUCUCUAUGUCUAUAUAUUAAAAGGAAGGCAGAAAAGAAGAAUCCAAUGGAAAUAAGAAGACGGGCAAGUGCAAGCUGCCGUGGGUACUGGCAGGUGGACCAGCUGGUUUACAUCGAGAGACGUGGGGACUAGGGGAAAAGAUGCUGCUUUGCAGCUGGAGGAAAGCAGCAAGGAGCGGACGUGACUGGGGGGAGUCAAAAACGAAAAAGAAUAAAAUAAGAAAAGAAACGGGCAGACAAAAUGAAGAGGCCAAGUAGGUGAGAAAGGCAGAAAGAAUAAAAAAAAAAACAGCUGCCUUUGGCAGCUGGCGUGACUGAUAGAGAAGAAGAAAGAUAUAAAAAUAAGAAGAGGCUGGCGUGAUGAGGGGGUCUGGGGGCGGGAGAAAGAAGCUGCCCUUUGGGCAGCUUGACAAGAAACGCAGGACACGGGGCAGCGCCAGAGGAGGGCGAGAGGAGAGAGGUCAACACGGGGAGGAGGGACAGGAAAGAGCCUUGCGGCAGCAGAAACCAAGGAGAGGAGGGAGCUGCCCUUUGGGCAGCUCGCAGAGACGCAGGGGAGAGAAGUAACACGUACAGGGAGGAGAGCUGCCAUUUGGCAGCUGGUGCGAGAGAGAGAGAAGCUGCCCUUGCAGCGUGUGCGCCAGAGAAGAAAAUAAAAGCAGCUGCCCUUGGCAGCGCGACAAUGAGAAAAACAGAAGGCCACAGACAGGAAAGAAAUUGCAGCAAGGGCAGCGUGGGCACGAACGCAGCAGAUCAUCCUCUUUCGGUUUAAUCUUUCCAAACUUCUCUUUUAUUUCUGUUUUUAAUAAUGUGUAAUUAAUUUUAUUUUGGCUAGAGGUUAAUUCAAAGCCAUGAAUAUAUUUGUAAUAUGAAUUGAUUACCUUCGGUUGUGAUUUCAUAAGUUGUGAUUUCAAUUGACUUAUCCGUUCGUAUAAAAACUGAUUUGUGUAUGUUGGUUGAGAGUGCACGCUUAAUUUACAUGCAUGAAUUUGAUGCUAGAAUAUAAGUGAAUUUCACCUAAUCGUUAUGAACUUAUUUUCACAAGUAGUAAAGGUUGCUAGUCACAAUCACGUUAAGUAAAUUCUUGGCAAGAGUAUCAUGCUUUUCAUAGUUACGAAUGCCUCGUCAAUGCUUAUAGUUUUCACAAAGUUUAAUGAUCUUUGAUUGUAUCGCUAUUGUGCUUUUCACGUAGGGGACUUUUGAAGAAUGUUUUGAAUUGUUGUAUGCGUUUUUCCGUCCAAUUCAAUAACUUAAGGAAAACUUGAAGAUUUAAAAAAGUGCUGUUCACGGUUAAUCUGGAGUAUUGAGAUUCACAAUUUAUUGAAAGAACAACUGAAAAUCAAUUUAGGUUGCAUAUGUGUCAUGUGUGGAGAAGAACCCUCUAGCUAGUCUGUCAUUUAUCAUUUUACCUUAAUUUUAUGUUUUUUAUCAAUUCUGUAAUUUAAUUAAGUUUAAUUUACUUUUCAUCAAAACCAAACACCCAUCCAUUAUUAAAUUAUAUUAUUUAUUUAGUUUUCUUUAUUGUUAGUCUUUUAAUUUAAUUUCCGUCCAUUUCAGUUCCUAGUGUUUAAUUUAAUUAUUUUCAUUAUUUUUGAGUCAUUUUAAGUGUGUUUCGAGUUAUUAGAGUUUUUAGCCUAAUUUUGUGUCCUUGAGUCUUAUUUAAUAUUUUUAGGUUAAUUUAAUAGAUUAGCAAUCCCUCCUAAUCCCCGGCCUAGAACGAUACCCUACUUACAUCUAUACUACAAUUGUCAAAAAGAGGGUUUAAUUUGUGUGUCAAGUAAUUCUUGCAUCAAAUUUUGGCGCCGUUGCCGGGGAUUAGCAACUUUGCUAAUCCUUUUAUUUUUGUUUUUGUUUAUGUUUAUAUUGGUGUUUGUGUAUUUUACUUUUGAUAUUUGAUUUAUUUUUCUUUCUUUGAUUUUAGGUUCAAAUGGAGCCGAGGGAAAUUUAAAGGAAAGAUGCGUCCGGCUAAAGACGUUAAAUCAAGCGCUUCUUGGGAGGCAACCCAAGCAUUCAACGAAGGGAGACUUUGGAAUCGCUAACCCAAUCAGCUUUGCAUUCUUCCAACCUUAUCUUUACUGCUUUCAUUUUGUUUUGUUUAGUUAGUUGUGUUAUUUGGUUGAUUUCUGUGAGUUUGUGUUAUUUAGUUUAAGUGUGGGGGAAGAUUAACCAAAGUCUCUUUACAUUAAUUUACAUAAAAAAAAAAAAAAAAAAAAAAAGAUAAAAUUUAAAAUUAAUGAUAAAAAAAAAUACAUAAAAAAAAUUAAAAAAAAAAUAAAAAAUUUAAAAAAAAAAAAAAAAAAAAAAAGUACAAAUAUUUUACAAUAAUGUAAACUAAUAGUAUUCAUUGGUCGGGUGGUGCUUCAGUAGUAGGCGGGGCUUCAGCAGUCGGCGGGGCCACAGAAGGAGGAGGCAGCAGAGGUUGAUCAGUUGGAGCUUCACUACGCGGUGCCGCUCCAGAAGACGAAGGCAGAUGUUGUUGGAACAAACCCACAAACCUCCGAUGAUCAAGUAAAAUUUGACCAUCGGUGUCCUGCAUCUGGUCAAUCUUCCUCUUCAUACUGGUGGCAUAGUUGUGUGCGAGCUUGUGCAAUUCCUUAUUCUCAUGCUUGAGCCCUUUAAUCUCUUGCUUGAGACUCUGUAUUUCAGCCACCAAGGAUUCAACGUGACGGGUUCGAGCAAAUAGGCGUUGGGCCAUGUUGGACACAGAACUCGCACACUGCACGCUAAGAGCCAGAGACUCCUUAACCGCCAAUUCAUCAGACCGCCUAGCGAGCAGUCUGUUAUCUCUGGGGGUGACAAGGUUCCGGGCCACCACCGCAGCAGUCAUGUCAUUUUUCAUCACCGAAUCCCCCACGGUAAGGGGACCGGUGGGGGAUAUGAAGGAUGGGCGCCAUAUAUUGUCUGGUGAAGGCGGAGCUACCUCUUCACGAAUGUUCAAGUCAAAACGUCGAUCAGAAGGGCCUGCCAUUUUCUGAAGGUGGUGAAGAAAGAAGAGAGUCGGAAUGAUCAAGAUUAAACAAGUGCAAGAAGGGAGUGUUUACAGGAGGGUGCUCAAGUGUGUUGUGGAACAAGCUUAACGCCUCUAUAAAAAGAAGAAAUCGGAGAGGCGCUCCUCAGAGAAGCGUCCUCUCGCAAAUCGAAGAGUCGGGGCUCCGUUCUCAAAACGCCUGAUUCUUUUCUCAAAAGAGGAGUUUCCUUUCUCAAAAGCCGAAUUCUUUUCUCAAAAGAGGCGUUUUAUUUCUCGAAAUUAUGGGCUUGCUCAGAACCCACGAGUCGAACCCCGGAUUUCAAAAGAUAAAUUUGUCCAGACGUGUUGUCACUCGUCACAGCUUUGCGGAAAUUACGGGCAGCUUUGUCAGAAAGCGCGUAAUUUGUACUAUUCAUCCAUCCACCGGCUGCCGACAAUGAGUGAGAGAACAGUUCCGGUUGUGAAGACAAGUCCUAUAAGUUUCUAUCUUCGCCUUCCACAGCAAAAGCACACUCUCUCAGCACACCCUCUCAACACUUCUUCAUCUCCGAAAAUGCAUUCCCAAAGAAUCCUCCUAAGUUACUCUGUGUUCCUCAUUCCUUGGGAUACUCCUGAAAACAACCCAUUCAAAGCAAAAGUAUUUCAUAUCAUGAAGGUUGAAAGCAAGAGUAUCUCAUAUCAUGCUUUCUCCCUGUCCUUUCUCCAGCCAGCACUUGCUCUCGAGUACUCAUCAUCUUAUGUUUCCUUUUCGUCUCUUACGUAUAAGGGAAGUGAAGAUGAUACCUCGAAGCAUGUGGAGACAACGUGCUGAUUCAUCCUCAACUAAGGACAAGGAGAAAGAGAGCAAGAGGUGGGCACUUGGAAAGAUUGAAGAAAGAAACAGACCAACACCUCUCCCUCGUGCCUGCCCGCCAUGCAGAGGAAACAAGCAGAGAAGAAUGCAGCUUGCACAAUCAUCCCAGCGGAAGGAGUCCGAGCUGAGGAACUAGAGAAGCUGCCACAUCUGCUUGGAGAACAAAUAAGGAACUGCAACAUUCCCAAAGAGCAAAGCUCCGCCGUACAAUAUCAUCAAAUCAUCACUUGCAAGUAAAAAGCUAAGUGUCACCCUGUUCAAGAGGAAAGCUGUGGAAAGUCAACAAGCACGACCAAUGAUUACUUAUUAGUUUUAUUCAUUAUCUUUUAUCGUAAUUUUCAAUUUUUCGUUUGCAAUUUUUUUUUUAAUUAAUUUUCUUGCGUACUUAACUGAAUUAUUUCUUUUCUUUGCAGGAACUUUUAGUUAUUUCCACCCUUGAAGUUGAUUGCAGAAUUUUAGCUUGGGGGUCAUCGCUUGAUUUUACUGCAAAUUAGGGAAGUUUUCAGUCCAAUUGUUUUAUUUUGUUUCUUAUUAUUUAUUUAUUUUAUUUUUAUUUGCAUUAUAGUGUUUUCUGACAUUGGGGACAAUGUCCAGUUUAAGUGUGGGGGUAGAAAUCUCUAGAAUUUCAUUUGUUUCUGUGUUGUUAGUUUUUGUUUUCUUAAAAAAAAAAAAAAAAAUCGGAAAAUUUAAAAAAUCCAAAAAUAUUGUCUUGUUUCCCUUAUUGUUUUGAAUUAGAUUUUUGUUAGUUUCCCUACCCAAUGAUAUAAUUGGAUCAAAUUUGAACCAUGAUCAUCAAGAACUUAGUUAACAUGUGUUUUGUGAAAUUCCUAAUUCUCUUGUUAGUUUUGUACAUGUUUGACCAUCUUUGAAAAAACCAAAUGCACAUAGCCUUGUUGAUGUGAAACUAAAGUAUGAAUUAAAGCUUCAUAUGUGAAUUUAGUGACCAUAUAUAAUUCCUAUGUGAGUUUUUGAGCCUAUUGAAAGUGUGUGCAUUUUUCAUACACUCCUAUUCUUUCAUGUGUGAUGAACUUAUGUGAGAUACAUCUCUAGAACUUGCGUAACGAUCUUUCGAAAUGUUUGUCAUUGAUUGCAUGAACUUGGAAAUGAUAGAGGCAUUAGGUUUACCACUAUGGCCCAAAUAACCAUGUUUCCCAAAGAAAAAUGAUAUCAUUAGAUUGCCAAUUUGAGCCAUGUAUGUUGAGCCUUUUAUUUCUUAUCACCAGAUAUGUCUACCCUUAUACCUGAAACAUUUUUCCUUACCCUUUUCCAAGCAAGCUAGUGAGCAAUGUGAGAUUGUUUUAUGAGAAACGUUUGUGAAGUACUGUGAAGAUGUUUAGCAAAAGAUUAAGUGUGGGGGUAUUUCAUGUUUGUAUUAAAAAAAAAAAAAAAAAAAAAAAAAAAAAAAAAAAAAAAGAGAGAAAAGAAAAAGAAAAAGAAAUAUUGUAUACGACGAGAAAAAAAAAAAAAAAAAAAGGAAAAAAAAAAAAAAAAAAAAAAAAAAAAAAAAAAAAAAAAAGAAAAAAAAAAGUUUUUUUUUAAAAAGUUUCAGUUUAAGGGUAUGGUUGGAGGUGCUAGAAGAAUCGCUGGAAAAAUUGAGUUCUUCUAAAUCUAAACAAAAGAAUUGCUUGCAAUAUAGCUUGGAACUUGUGUUUUCCUAUUCUUUCAUUUCAAUAACCCUAUCCCUAAGCCUCAUUACAUCCAAUAAAAGUCCUCUUGAUUUAAGUUUUGCAAUUAUGACUGUGGAGAAGUGAUUUUUAUGCAAGCUUAUGGUAGAAAUUUCACAUUUGUUUCUUUGAGCGAAACACAUUAAAACUAAACACAUGUGUGAUUGAGUGCAUAUUCCGUGAGAAGGUCACUAGUUUGCAUAUGAUGAUUUUAAAAAUAAAAACUUGAAAUUGCAUUAGCAUGGCUAUCUCACACACUACACUUCAAGGAUGAUUUAAAGAUUACUGCUAAUAUUUGAAUUAGGAAUUUGAACUUGGAUUAGUUCCUUGAUGCUAGCUAUGGUUCUUGAUGAUUUGUUUUCUUAAAUGAAAUUCUAUGAGGGUCACAUAGGGGGAAGCUAAUGUUUUUCUUGUUACUUCUUGUUCUAGUUUUCUUUGUUUUGCUCGAGGACUAGCAAAAGUUAAGUGUGGGGGUAUUUGAUCGGAUCAUAUUUAUAUAUAUUUUUACUUCGAAUUCACUCGUCUUUUCUUGGUUAGUUCCUUAUAUUUUUGAGCUAUUUACGUUAUUUUUGUGUUUAUAGGAUCUGUUAUGCAAAUUUACCCUUUAUUGUCACAUGAUAAUACUAAUUUACAUUUUAUAAACAAGGUUUGUCCCUCUCUAUGUCUAUAUAUUAAAAGGAAGGCAGAAAAGAAGAAUCCAAUGGAAAUAAGAAGACGGGCAAGUGCAAGCUGCCGUGGGUACUGGCAGGUGGACCAGCUGGUUUACAUCGAGAGACGUGGGGACUAGGGGAAAAGAUGCUGCUUUGCAGCUGGAGGAAAGCAGCAAGGAGCGGACGUGACUGGGGGGAGUCAAAAACGAAAAAGAAUAAAAUAAGAAAAGAAACGGGCAGACAAAAUGAAGAGGCCAAGUAGGUGAGAAAGGCAGAAAGAAUAAAAAAAAAACAGCUGCCUUUGGCAGCUGGCGUGACUGAUAGAGAAGAAGAAAGAUAUAAAAAUAAGAAGAGGCUGGCGUGAUGAGGGGGUCU